UUGUAUGCGUUAGGGAUGGGAGCGGCAUCCUUUUUAUUUUUUCUUUAAAAAUGAAAAGAUAUAGCGGACAGCCCGACCGUAG
This 82-nucleotide small RNA is filed under the name Flavobacterium resistens. Its description in RNAcentral is "Flavo-1 RNA". It matches the Rfam family "Flavo-1 RNA". The record is from RNAcentral. Lineage: Bacteria; Pseudomonadati; Bacteroidota; Flavobacteriia; Flavobacteriales; Flavobacteriaceae.